RNAcentral lists this ribosomal RNA (446 nucleotides) under uncultured bacterium. Its description in RNAcentral is "partial 16S ribosomal RNA". It matches the Rfam family "Bacterial small subunit ribosomal RNA", at positions 29 to 523 of the family's 1533-position model. The record is from RNAcentral.
AACGAACGCUGGCGGCAGGCCUAAUACAUGCAAGUCGAGCGCCCAGCAAUGGGAGCGGCGCACGGGUGCGUAACGCGUGGGAAUAUGCCUUUAGGUACGGAACAACCAAGGGAAACUUUGGCUAAUACCGUAUAAUAUCUUCGGAUCAAAGAAUUUCGCCUAAAGAUUAGCCCGCGUCUGAUUAGCUAGUUGGUGGGGUAAAGGCCUACCAAGGCGACGAUCAGUAGCUGGUCUGAGAGGAUGAUCAGCCACACUGGAACUGAGACACGGUCCAGACUCCUACGGGACGCAGCAGUAAGGAAUAUUGGACAAUGGGGGCAACCCUGAUCCAGCCAUGCCGCGUGAGUGACGAAGGCCUUAGGGUUGUAAAGCUCUUUUGGUGGGGAAGAUAAUGACUGUACCCACAGAAGAAGCCCCGGCUAACUUCGUGCCAGCCGCCGCAGUAA